CGUGGUUAGCCACGCCCCCCCAUUUUGGUGACUUUUGAUAACCUCGGGCCGAUCGCACAUCCCCGUGACGGCGACGACACAUUCGGAUGUCUGCCCUAUUAACUUUCAAUGGUACUUUCUGCGCCUACCAUGGUGACCACGGGUAACGGGGAAUCAGGGUUCGAUUCCAGAAAGGGAGCCUGAGAAACGGCUACCACAUCCAAGGAAGGCAGCAGGCAUGCAAAUUACACACUCUCGACGUGGGGAGGUAGUGACG
RNAcentral lists this ribosomal RNA (256 nucleotides) under Pelobates cultripes (western spadefoot toad). RNAcentral describes it as "SSU_rRNA_microsporidia". It matches the Rfam family "Eukaryotic small subunit ribosomal RNA", at positions 227 to 472 of the family's 1831-position model. The record is from RNAcentral. Lineage: Eukaryota; Metazoa; Chordata; Amphibia; Anura; Pelobatidae.